UAAAGGGAAGCGAAUGGGGUUAGCAAUUCGCCUCGCCAGAUUCAGUUUCUCGCAUGCCGCGACGUUCGAGAUCUCGAUCCCUGUAGACGAGUCGUGUGCGGACGCGUCAGGCGGGAAGCGCAUUUUUGGCGGGCGAGCGUCAACGUCGGCCUCCGACGGUCUACAAUGUCGCAAGGAAGGUAAACCGACCUUCGGGACGGUUAUUAAGCCUCGCGAACGUACCGACCGUCGGAGACCGUGGCAAGCUAUCGCGACGCGUGCCCUCCUUCGUGGUUGGCUGGUGUCCCGUAUCGUUUGGCCGGUUGUCGACCGUGGCGGACGGCACGCCUGUGCGCUCGAACCGCUGCCGGUCAACAGUUCGGUGAUCACUCACCACGCGUCUAGGACGUUGACGAUCAUACGGCUCCAUCCGACCCGUCUUGAAACACGGACCAAGGAGUCUAACAUGURCGCGAGUCUCUGGGUGAUCGAAACCCGUGGGCGAAAUGAAAGUAAAUGCGGCAUGAGCCGCAGAGGUGAGAAGCGCCUUCCCUGCGUUGGCGCCGCAUCAUCGACCGACCUAUUCUACUCCUAGGAAGGUUUGAGUAAGAGCGUAUCUGUUGGGACCCGAAAGAUGGUGAACUAUGCCUGAAUAGGGUGAAGCCAGCGGAAACACUGGUGGAAGCUCGUAGCGGUUCUGACGUGCAAAUCGAUCGUCGAAUUUGGGUAUAGCGGCGAAAGACUAAUCGAACCAUCUAGUAGCUGGUUCCCUCCGAAGUUUCCCUCAGGAUAGCUGGAGCUCGGAUGCAGUUUU
RNAcentral lists this ribosomal RNA (793 nucleotides) under Gilibelemnon octodentatum. RNAcentral's name for it is "partial large subunit ribosomal RNA". It matches the Rfam family "Eukaryotic large subunit ribosomal RNA", at positions 410 to 1002 of the family's 3401-position model. Lineage: Eukaryota; Metazoa; Cnidaria; Anthozoa; Scleralcyonacea; Stachyptilidae. The record is from RNAcentral.